UGGUUAAGCGAAAAGAGCACAGGGUGAAUGCCCAGGCACUGAGAGCCGAAGAAAGACGUGAUAAGCUGCGAAAAGCGGCGGGGAUUGGCAAAUACGAGGUGAUCCGCCGAUAUCUGAAUGGGGAAACCCACCGGAGUAAUCCUCCGGUACCGCAGGGUAAAUCCAUAGCCAUGCGGAGGGAACCCGCCGAACUGAAACAUCUCAGUAGGCGGAGGAAGAGAAAACAACCGUGAUUCCGAGAGUAGCGGCGAGCGAAAUCGGAGGAGCCCAAACCGCGGUGCGUGCACCGCGGGGUAAGGACCGCGAAAAAGUUCGAAGAGGGAGUGGAAGCGCGCUGGAAAGCGCCGCCAUAGAGGGUGAGAGCCCCUUACACGAAGCUUGAAGAAUGGCGCGGGAUCCGGAGUACNNNNNNNNNNNNNNNNNNNNNNNNNNNNNNNNNNNNNNNNNNNNNNNNNNNNNNNNNNNNNNNNNNNNNNNNNNNNNNNNNNNNNNNNNNNNNNNNNNNNAGCCCGGAUCUACAGCUAAGGUCCCAAAGUGCGUGUUAAGUGGGAAAGGAUGUGAGAUCUCAGAGACAACUAGGAUGUUGGCUCAGAAGCAGCCACACAUUCAAAGAGUGCGUAAUAGCUCACUAGUCGAGAGGUCCUGCGCCGAAAAUUCACGGGGCUGAAACACGACACCGAAGCUUAGGGAUGGAGAAAUCCAUCGGUAGAGGAGCAUUGAAAACCCAUAGAAGCAGGACUGGAAGGUUCUGUGGAGAGUUUUGAAGAGAGAAUGCCGGAAUGAGUAGCGAGAUGGAGGUGGGAAUCCUCCAGGCCGAAAAUCUAAGGUUUCCAGGGUAAAGCUGAUCUGCCCUGGGGAAGUCGGGGCCUAAGGCGAGGCUGAAAAGCGUAGUCGAUGGAGAACUGGUGAAGAUUCCAGUACCGAAUGAUAUCAGAACUGCGGGGACACAUGGGGGAAGGAAGAGCUGGGAGAGAGAAGACCGGUGCAAGCGCCGAAAGGCGUGAAGCGGAACGAAGAAAAGUAGGGAAGCUUCCGGAGACUGUGGCGAGAAAAGCCGCUAUUGUGUAUCAUGAGCCCGUACCGCAAACCGACACAGGUAGAUGAGGAGAGAAUCCUAAGGCCGACGGGAGAAGCAUUGUUAAGGAACUCGGCAAAAUGACCCCGUAACUUCGGGAGAAGGGGUGCCCACGGGAGUGGGCCGCAGAGAAAAGGCUCAAGCAACUGUUUAGCAAAAACACAGGUCUAUGCGAAACCGAAAGGUAAAGUAUAUGGGCUGACGCCUGCCCGGUGCUGGAAGGUUAAGAGGAGAGGUUAGCGAAAGCGAAGCUUUGAAUUGAAGCCCCAGUAAACGGCGGCCGUAACUAUAACGGUCCUAAGGUAGCGAAAUUCCUUGUCGGGUAAGUUCCGACCCGCACGAAAGGCGUAAUGAUUUGAGCGCUGUCUCAACAAUGCACCCGGUGAAAUUGAAGUACCAGUGAAGAUGCUGGUUACCCGCGCCAGGACGGAAAGACCCCAUGGAGCUUUACUCCAGCUUGAUACUGGGAUUCGGCAGUGUAUGCACAGGAUAGGUGGGAGACUAGGAGGAGAGAACUUCGGUUUUCUCGGAGUCGCUGUUGGGAUACCACCCUUAUGCUGCUGGAUUUCUAACCGAAGGCCGUAAGCCGGCCGCGGGACACUGUCAGGUGGGGAGUUUGACUGGGGCGGUCGCCUCCGAAAGGGUAUCGGAGGCGCUCAAAGGUUCCCUCAGGAUGGUUGGAAACCAUCCGUAGAGUGCAAAGGCAGAAGGGAGCCUGACUGCGAGGGCGACGGUCCGAGCAGAGUAGAAAUACGGACUUAGUGAUCCGGUGGUAUGAAAGUGGGAUUGCCAUCGCUCAACGGAUAAAAGCUACCCUGGGGAUAACAGGCUGAUCUCCCCCAAGAGUUCACAUCGACGGGGAGGUUUGGCACCUCGAUGUCGGCUCAUCGCAUCCUGGGGCUGAAGUCGGUCCCAAGGGUUGGGCUGUUCGCCCAUUAAAGCGGUACGCGAGCUGGGUUCAGAACGUCGUGAGACAGUUCGGUCCCUAUCCGGCGCGGGCGCAGGAUAUUUGAGAGGAUCUGUCCUUAGUACGAGAGGACCGGGAUGGACUGACCUCUGCUGUACCUGUUGGGAAUCGAUCCCACAGCAGGGUAGGCAAGUCGGGAAUGGAUAAACGCUGAAAGCAUCUAAGCGUGAAGCCAACCUCAAGAUGAGAUAUCCCAUCGAAAGAGUAAGACCCCUUUGAGAGAAAGAGGUAAAUAGGGCUGAGGUGGAAGUGCUGCAAAGCAUGCAGCUGACAGCUACUAAUCGGUCGAGGGCUUAUCCAUA
Oribacterium sp. oral taxon 078 is the source of this 2344-nucleotide non-coding RNA. Lineage: Bacteria; Bacillati; Bacillota; Clostridia; Lachnospirales; Lachnospiraceae. The record is from Rfam.